This 497-nucleotide ribosomal RNA is filed under the name uncultured bacterium. Its description in RNAcentral is "partial 16S ribosomal RNA". It matches the Rfam family "Bacterial small subunit ribosomal RNA", at positions 28 to 507 of the family's 1533-position model. The record is from RNAcentral.
GAUGAACGCUGGCGGCGUGCCUAAUACAUGCAAGUCGAGCGAACAGACGAGGAACUUUCUCCUCUGACGUUAGCGGCGGACGGGUGAGUAACACGUGGAUAACCUACCUAUAAGACUGGGAUAACUUCGGGAAACCGGAGCCAAUACCGGAUAAUAUAUUGAACCACAUGGUUCAAUAGUGAAAGACGGUUUUGCUGCCACUUAUAGAUGGAUCCGCGUCGCAUAAACUACUUGGUAAGGUACCGGCUUACCAAGGCAACGGUGCGUAGCCGACCUGGGAGGGUGGUCGGCCACACUGGACCUGAGACACGGUCCAGAGUCAUACGGGAGGCAGAAGUAGGGAAUAUUCCGCGAUGGGUGAAGGCCUGCUGGAGCAAAGCCGUGAAGGUGAUGAAGGUUCUCGGAUCGUAAAACUCGGUUAUUAGGGACGAACAAAUGUGUAAGUAACGAUGCUCGUUUUGCCGGGACCAACGCAGAGACUAACGGCUAGGCACCCC